Molecule: ribosomal RNA, 1516 nt
Filed under: Capsicum baccatum
Lineage: Eukaryota; Viridiplantae; Streptophyta; Magnoliopsida; Solanales; Solanaceae
Description: SSU rRNA
Rfam family: Eukaryotic small subunit ribosomal RNA (bases 286-1516)
Source: RNAcentral
GUCGGGUUGUUUAGGAAUGUAGCCCAAAUCGGGCGGUGAAUUCCGUCCAAGGCUAAAUAUGGGCGAGUGACCGAUAGCGAACAAGUACCGCAAGGGACUGAUGAAAAGGACUUUGAAAAGAGAGUCAAAGAGUGCUUGAAAUUGUCAAUAGGGAAGCGGAUAGGAGCCGGCGAUGCGCCCCGAUCGAAUCUGGAAUGGCGACGAGUCGGUCCGCCGAUCGACUCGGGGCGUGGACCAGCGUGGAUUCGGGGGUGGCCAAAGAUCGGGCUAUCGAUGCACUCGUGGAACGCCUUCUCCUCGAUUGUGGAAGGCAACAAUUUGUAAACACCACCCGGGCUAUCGAUAUGCACACAAAUUACCCAAUCCGGACAGGGGGAGGUAGUGACAAUAAAUAACAAUACCGGGCUCAAUGAGUCUGGUAAUUGGAAUGAGUACAAUCUAAAUCCCUUAACGAGGAUCCAUUGAAGAAAUUAUAGUGCUCAAAGCAAGCCUACGCUCUUUAUACAUUAGCAUGGGAUAACAUUAUAGGAUUUCAGUCCUAUUACGUUGGCCUUUGGGAUCGGAGUAAUGAUUAACAGGGACAGUCGGGGGCAUUCGUAUUUCAUAGUCAGAGGUGAAAUUCUUGGAUUUAUGAAAGACGAACAACUGCGAAAGCAUUUGCCAAGGAUGUUUUCAUUAAUCAAGAACGAAAGUUGGGGGCUCGAAGAUGAUAAGAUACCAUUCUAGUCUAAACCAUAAACGAUGCUGACCAGGGAUCGGUGGAUGUUGCUUUUAGGACUCCGCCGGUACCUUAUGAGAAAUCAAAGUUUUUUGGUUCCAAGGGGAGUAUGGUCGCAAGGCUGAAACUUGAAGGAAUUGACGGAAGGGAACCACCAGGAGUUGAGCCUACGACUUAAUUUGACUCAACACGGGGAAACUUACCAGGUCCAGACAUAGUAGCGAUUGACAGACUGAGAGCUCUUUCUUGAUUCUAUGGGUGGUGGUGCAUGGUCGUUCUUAGUUGGUGGAGCGAUUUGUCUGGUUAAUUCCGUUAACGAACGNUGAAUGAGACCUCAGCCUUCUAACUAGCUAUGCUGAGGUAUCCCUUAGUGGCCAUCUUCUUAGAGGGACUACGUCCUUUUAGGCUGCGGAAGUUUGAGGCAAUAACAGGUCUAUGAUGCCCUUAGAUGUUCUCGGCCGCACGCGUGCUACACUGAUGUAUUCAACGAGUUUAUAGCCUUAGCCGACAGGCUCGGGUAAUAUUUGAAAUUUCAUCGUGAUGGGGAUAGAUUAUUGCAAUUAUUGGUCUUCAAUGAGGAAUUCCUAUUAAGCGCGAGUCAUCAGCUCACGUUAACUAUGUCCCUGCCCUUUGUACACACUGUCCAUCACUCCUACCGAUUGAAAGAUCCAGUGAAAUGUUUGGAUCACGGCGAUAUGGGCGGUUCGCUGCCUGCGACGUCACGAGAAGUCCAUUGAACCUUAUCAUUUAGUGGAAGGAGAAGUUAUAACAAGGUUUCUAUAGGUGAACCUGCAAAAG